ACGGGGUGCAGCAGGCGCGAAACCUUUACAAUGCACGCAAGUGUGAUAAGGGAACCCUAAGUGCUUUGCUUUUGCAAGGCUUUUGUUUAGAUUAAAACUCUAUGCGAAUAAGUGGUGGGCAAGACUGGUGCCAGCCGCCGCGGUAACACCAGCUCCGCGAGUGGCAAUCACAUUUAUUUGGUCUAAAGCGUCCGUAGCCGGUUCAAUAAGUCUCUUGUGAAAUCAUUGAGCUUAACUCAAUGGUGUGCUUGAGAUACUGCUGGACUAGGAACUGGGAGGAGUCAGAAGUAUUUCUAGGGGAGCGGUAAAAUGCUAUAAUCCUAGAAAGACUACCUGUGGCGAAAGCGUCUGACCAGAACAGAUUCGACGGUGAGGGACGAAAGCUAGGGGAGCAAUCCGGAUUAGAUACGGGAAGUUGUGUCUGAUUCUAAAAAUAAACCUGUAAAUUGUUCUAUAGACACUAUUACAAGUUUAGAAAUAGAAUCGCUAUAUGACAAUUUCUCGCUAACUACCCGAGUAGUCCUAGCCAUAAACGCUGCGAGCUAGGUGUUGCAUAUUCUUCGUGAAUAUGUGGUAUCGUAGUGAAGACGUUAAGCUCGCCACCUGGGGAGUAUGGUCGCAAGACUGAAACUUAAAGGAAUUGGCGGGGGAGCAC
This 655-nucleotide ribosomal RNA is filed under the name uncultured archaeon. Its description in RNAcentral is "bacterial SSU rRNA". It matches the Rfam family "Archaeal small subunit ribosomal RNA", at positions 325 to 879 of the family's 1478-position model. The record is from RNAcentral.